Long non-coding RNA from Astatotilapia calliptera (eastern happy), 1137 nucleotides. The record is from Ensembl. Lineage: Eukaryota; Metazoa; Chordata; Actinopteri; Cichliformes; Cichlidae.
GGCUGGAGUAAAUGGCAAUUGUUGGUAACCCUCAUCAUAGUUUCUUCAGAGACGUUAUCUGAUCCAAACCGUAAAUCAGUUUACAGCAGUGAAGGAUUUCUGGCAUUAGUCGGAAAACGUUCUAAUCAAGGAAUGACGUGUUCCCUGUGUUUUCACAUGGAAACUAAUCAACAUUUCUUUUUGUGUGUAAUUAAGGGAAAUCAAACAUUUUGGGAAAGUGAUUAUUUAUACUUUGAGUACCAGUUGCCAGGUAACUGAAAGUGUACUUUUUGAAUGGAUUAAACAAAGAUAAGAGUCUCUGUCUUUUUAUGAAUCUUGUGCCUCUAAAAGGAAAGAAAAAUCGGACUCGUCAGACGUGAAUCAGCUCUCUGUGCAAGUUUCAAGUUCAUGUUAAAAUCACAAAUGCUCACAUGGAAGUCUUCAGAAAGGAGUUAAUAAAGUUUUGUAUUUUCUAAUUGUUUUUUUUUAUUUUUAGUUCAUUUUGACUUUUUGUUUGUAAUUUGUUUUUAAUUCUUUUUGUGUGGAUUGCAUAUUUCAGAGUCAGGAUUUAGGAAAAUCAGCGUAGAUGUUACAAUAAAAACAGGAAGCAGUUGACUCACAGUCUUAUCAGUAUGUCCAUCAAUGCCUCAUCGGGGUAGUUCUACUAAAAUUUUCACCAGUCCAGUCUACUAAACCAAGUUUUUAUUUUUCCAUCCAUCCAUUUUCUUCCGCUUUAUCCGAGGCCGGGUCGCGGGGGCAGCAGCCCAAGCAGAGAAGCCCAGACCUCCCUCUCCACGGCCACCUCCUCCAGCUUGUCCGGGGGAACGCCAAGGUGUUCCCAGGCCAGCCGAGAGAUAUAAUCUCUCCAGCGUGUCCUGGGUCUCCUCCCGGUGGGACACGCCCGGAACGCCUCGCCCAGGAGGCAUCCUUGACAGAUACCCGAACCACCUCAACUGGCUCCUUUCGAUGUGGAGGAGCAGCGGCUCUACUCUGAGUCCACCCCGACCGGUGAAUUGUGAGCCGGGCGGCAGCCAGGAGCGUAGGUCCUGGCGGACCGAUCCCCAGCUACCAAGACCAAGUUUUUAUUUUUAUUUUAGUUAAAUAAUUUAUUUAUUCACAUCCAGUUUUAUUUCUUAGUUUAGUUUUAGUCAACUAAAG